GCGAUGGAAGGAAUAUUAAAGCAAGAGAGGCCAACUUGAAGAGCAUGCAUAUUGUGAUACCCUCAGUGGUGUCUUUUACAAUAUGUUCUGCUUCAACCAGUGAAUUUUGUUCAAUUGGCCAGGUAAGCAAAUAUGCUUAUUUAUGCUUAUUAAUGUACUUAUUUAUAUGUCUUUUUUUUUUUUAAGAAAA
RNAcentral lists this long non-coding RNA (190 nucleotides) under Parus major (Great Tit). RNAcentral describes it as "lncRNA (ENSPMJG00000012115.1)". Lineage: Eukaryota; Metazoa; Chordata; Aves; Passeriformes; Paridae. The record is from RNAcentral.